Molecule: ribosomal RNA, 465 nt
Filed under: uncultured bacterium
Lineage: Bacteria
Description: bacterial SSU rRNA
Rfam family: Bacterial small subunit ribosomal RNA
Source: RNAcentral
UCCAGACUCCUACGGGAGGCAGCAGUGGGGAAUAUUGCACAAUGGGGGAAACCCUGAUGCAGCGACGCCGCGUGAGUGAAGAAGUAUUUCGGUAUGUAAAGCUCUAUCAGCAGGGAAGAAAUAGCGACCUUUGGGUCGCCAGACGGUACCUGACUAAGAAGCCCCGGCUAACUACGUGCCAGCAGCCGCGGUAAUACGUAGGGGGCAAGCGUUAUCCGGAUUUACUGGGUGUAAAGGGAGCGUAGACGGCGACGCAAGUCUGAAGUGAAAUGCCAGUGCUCAACACUGGAACUGCUUUGGAAACUGUGUAGCUAGAGUGCAGGAGAGGUAAGUGGAAUUCCUAGUGUAGCGGUGAAAUGCGUAGAUAUUAGGAGGAACACCAGUGGCGAAGGCGGCUUACUGGACUGUAACUGACGUUGAGGCUCGAAGGCGUGGGGAGCAAACAGGAUUAGAUACCCGAGUACA